GCGGCCAUCGUAUAAUGGCAGUACAUGAGCUUCCCAAGCUCUUAGCGCGGGUUCGAUUCCCGCUGGCCGCU
Molecule: transfer RNA, 71 nt
Filed under: Omnitrophica bacterium RIFCSPLOWO2_01_FULL_50_24
Lineage: Bacteria; Pseudomonadati; Candidatus Omnitrophota
Description: tRNA-Gly
Rfam family: tRNA
About the family: Transfer RNA (tRNA) molecules are approximately 80 nucleotides in length. Their secondary structure includes four short double-helical elements and three loops (D, anti-codon, and T loops).
Source: RNAcentral